This 253-nucleotide ribosomal RNA is filed under the name uncultured bacterium. Its description in RNAcentral is "partial 16S ribosomal RNA". It matches the Rfam family "Bacterial small subunit ribosomal RNA", at positions 524 to 776 of the family's 1533-position model. The record is from RNAcentral.
UACGAAGGGGGCUAGCGUUGCUCGGAAUCAUUGGGCGUAAAGGGUGCGUAGGUGGCGGGGUAAGUCAGGUGUGAAAUCUCGGAGCUCAACUCCGAAACUGCACUUGAUACUGCCUUGCUCGAGUACUGGAGAGGAGAUUGGAAUUUACGGUGUAGCAGUGAAAUGCGUAGAUAUCGUAAGGAAGACCAGUGGCGAAGGCGAAUCUCUGGACAGUUACUGACACUGAGGCACGAAGGCCAGGGGAGCAAACGGG